Molecule: ribosomal RNA, 253 nt
Filed under: uncultured bacterium
Lineage: Bacteria
Description: partial 16S ribosomal RNA
Rfam family: Bacterial small subunit ribosomal RNA
Source: RNAcentral
UACGUAGGGUGCAAGCGUUGUCCGGAAUUAUUGGGCGUAAAGAGCUCGUAGGCGGCUUGUUGCGUCGACCGUGAAAACCCGGGGCUCAACUUCGGGCUUGCGGUCGAUACGGGCGGGCUAGAGUUCGGUAGGGGAGACUGGAAUUCCUGGUGUAGCGGUGAAAUGCGCAGAUAUCAGGAGGAACACCGGUGGCGAAGGCGGUUCUCUGGGCAUGAUCUGACGCUGAGGAGCGAAAGUGUGGGGAGCGAACAGG